Molecule: ribosomal RNA, 434 nt
Filed under: uncultured bacterium
Lineage: Bacteria
Description: partial 16S ribosomal RNA
Rfam family: Bacterial small subunit ribosomal RNA
Source: RNAcentral
AGCGAACGCUGGCGGCAGGCCUAACACAUGCCAGUCGAACGAACCUUUCGGGGUUAGUGGCGGACGGGUGAGUAACACGUGGGAACGUGCCUUUAGGUUCGGAAUAACUCAGGGAAACUUGUGCUAAUACCGAAUGUGCCCUUCGGGGGAAAGAUUUAUCGCCUUUAGAGCGGCCCGCGUCUGAUUAGCUAGUUGGUUGAGGUAAUGGCUCACCAAGGCGACGAGCAGUAGCUGGUCUGAGAGGAUGAUCAGCCACAUUGGGACUGAGACACGGCCCAAACUCCUACGGGAGGCAGCAGUGGGGAAUCUUGCGCAAUGGGCGAAAGCCUGACGCAGCCAUGCCGCGUGAAUGAUGAAGGUCUUAGGAUUGUAAAAUUCUUUCACCGGGGACGAUAAUGACGGUACCCGGAGAAGAAGCCCCGGCUAACUUCGUG